CUAACGUGGACCCGUUACCCGGGUUGCGGACAGUGUCUGGUGGGUAGUUUGACUGGGGCGGUCUCCUCCUAAAGAGUAACGGAGGAGCACGAAGGUUGGCUAAUCCUGGUCGGACAUCAGGAGGUUAGUGCAAUGGCAUAAGCCAGCUUGACUGCGAGCGUGACGGCGCGAGCAGGUGCGAAAGCAGGUCAUAGUGAUCCGGUGGUUCUGAAUGGAAGGGCCAUCGCUCAACGGAUAAAAGGUACUCCGGGGAUAACAGGCUGAUACCGCCCAAGAGUUCAUAUCGACGGCGGUGUUUGGCACCUCGAUGUCGGCUCAUCACAUCCUGGGGCUGAAGUAGGUCCCAAGGGUAUGGCUGUUCGCCAUUUAAAGUGGUACGCGAGCUGGGUUUAGAACGUCGUGAGACAGUUCGGUCCCUAUCUGCCGUGGGCGCUGGAGAACUGAGGGGGGCUGCUCCUAGUACGAGAGGACCGGAGUGGACGCAUCACUGGUGUUCGGGUUGUCAUGCCAAUGGCACUGCCCGGUAGCUAAAUGCGGAAGAGAUAAGUGCUGAAAGCAUCUAAGC
RNAcentral lists this ribosomal RNA (565 nucleotides) under Salmonella enterica. RNAcentral describes it as "partial 23S ribosomal RNA". It matches the Rfam family "Bacterial large subunit ribosomal RNA", at positions 2222 to 2786 of the family's 2925-position model. Lineage: Bacteria; Pseudomonadati; Pseudomonadota; Gammaproteobacteria; Enterobacterales; Enterobacteriaceae. The record is from RNAcentral.